This 481-nucleotide ribosomal RNA is filed under the name uncultured bacterium. RNAcentral describes it as "partial 16S ribosomal RNA". It matches the Rfam family "Bacterial small subunit ribosomal RNA", at positions 28 to 507 of the family's 1533-position model. The record is from RNAcentral.
GAUGAACGCUGGCGGCGUGCUUAACACAUGCAAGUCGAACGAAACACCUUAUUUGAUUUUCUUCGGAACUGAAGAUUUGGUGAUUGAGUGGCGGACGGGUGAGUAACGCGUGGGUAACCUGCCCUGUACAGGGGGAUAACAGUCAGAAAUGACUGCUAAUACCGCAUAAGACCACAGCACCGCAUGGUGCAGGGGUAAAAACUCCGGUGGUACAGGAUGGACCCGCGUCUGAUUAGCUGGUUGGUGAGGUAACGGCUCACCAAGGCGACGAUCAGUAGCCGGCUUGAGAGAGUGAACGGCCACAUUGGGACUGAGACACGGCCCAAACUCCUACGGGAGGCAGCAGUGGGGAAUAUUGCACAAUGGGGGAAACCCUGAUGCAGCGACGCCGCGUGAGUGAAGAAGUAUUUCGGUAUGUAAAGCUCUAUCAGCAGGGAAGAAAAUGACGGUACCUGGCGAAGAAGCCCCGGCUAACUACGUG